GGACACAACUACUAAAACUGUUUCACUUUUUAAAAGGUGAACCAUGUUCCACCAUAAUCUAAGAAAAUGUAGAUCCAUGUUCUUUCUCUCUUAAUGUUUAUUUAUUAGAAACUUGUUCUCUUAUUUCAUUGUUUGCAUUUCUAGAUGUAACCAUGAUUAAGGUGGUUAACCGUGAGCUUAGCUGCAGACUUGGUUGACAAUUCAUGGUGUAUCUCUUUAGUGAUAUAAUUAUUGGUUGACAAUUCUUGCUACUGUUUUUGCACACAUCUUAAGUUUAAAUAUAAGUAUAAUGUUGCCAACUCAAUAGUUUGUCUCUUUAUACAAAUGCAAUGUUUUUAAUGUUGGCAUAAUUGAUUACGUUGUAUGUAGGAAAAAAAAUUCAAACAUAUGAAUCUACAACAUCGUCUCAAUCAAAAGAAAUAUCAAGUUUAGAUUCAUUGGCUCAUGUUUUAGGAAGCCAAGAGCAUUGUGGACGUGUUCGCGGUCUAGGUUUAGGUCCUUGUCCAUCUAAAGUCUUUGGAGUUCAUGCUCGUUCUCAUAUUGGAUCAUCUUCAUCUACUCCUUCUAAUGUUGAAUUACAAUCUCAGGUAUCUUCAUUGACUUCUUCUAAUGUUAAAUUAGAAUCUCAGGUAUCUUCAUUGAUAUCACAAGUCAAUGAAAUGAAGGCAAUGAUGACACUUUUGUUGCAAAAUCAUCAAGGUCCAUUGCCUUCAUAGUUUGCAUUAUUUCAACGAUCAUCGGUAUCUGAUCAAGGGAGUGGGCCAAACAAUGGAUGUAAUGAAGAAGAAAAUUAGAUAUUGUUAGUGAAUAUCUUUAUGAGUCAUACUUUUAGUAUUGAACAUUUGUAUUGAACAUCUAUAUUGAACAUAUGUAAUGAACAUCUUUCUUUUUAAUUUUUAUGUAUGAACAAUUAGUUGUAUGAAUGAUAUUAGGUUGAACAAUG
Non-coding RNA from Vigna umbellata (rice bean), 943 nucleotides. NCBI's taxonomy places the organism in Eukaryota, Viridiplantae, Streptophyta, Magnoliopsida, Fabales, Fabaceae. The record is from RefSeq and is a predicted model, not a curated record.